Molecule: long non-coding RNA, 306 nt
Filed under: Lathyrus oleraceus (garden pea)
Lineage: Eukaryota; Viridiplantae; Streptophyta; Magnoliopsida; Fabales; Fabaceae
Description: Pisum sativum (pea) long non-coding RNA (PSAT_LNC025146)
Source: RNAcentral
UAAAAAACCAUAAAAAUGUUUAUUUUGUUUUUUUUAUUAUUUAUUUUAUUAUAAAUUUGUCAGCCCAGUUCAUAUAUUUAUGGUAGUACCUCAAUAGCAGAUAGUGUUGAGUGGCCUAGUGGAGAGAUGGUAGUUGCAUAAUAUUAGGUGGGGAGGGUUCAAUACUCAUGUGUGGCUAUUUUUGGCAUUUUAUUUCUUUUAGCUAUAUUAUUUUUCUUUUAGCAUUUUCAUUUCUUUUUAUGUUUAUGCCUUUAUUACACUCAUAUGUUCAUUUUGUUAAUAAUGUAAAGUUGUUGUAUUUUAAUU